GUUUGAUAACUUAAUAGUAAUGUAUAGUAGCAAACUAUACAUAUCCCGGCUGAUAGUUUCCGUGUUUAAAUUGUUUUACAUGGUUAUGUAUUAGUCUUCCAAAGCUAAAAAGGGACGAAAGAUAUCAGAGGGACAGUAAAAAAAAAUCGAAAAUAAACUGAAAAAACCAUGGCUGAAAAUGAAAAAGACAAACAGACAAACAAUAAUACACAUGACACAACAUAAAAAAUCCAAAGAAUUAGCAACACGAACCCCAGCAAAACUAGGGGUGAUCUAAUGUGCUCCGGAAGGCUAAGCAUAUCCUGCUCCAC
This 311-nucleotide long non-coding RNA is filed under the name Mytilus galloprovincialis (Mediterranean mussel). The record is from RNAcentral. Lineage: Eukaryota; Metazoa; Mollusca; Bivalvia; Mytilida; Mytilidae.